Molecule: ribosomal RNA, 497 nt
Filed under: uncultured bacterium
Lineage: Bacteria
Description: partial 16S ribosomal RNA
Rfam family: Bacterial small subunit ribosomal RNA
Source: RNAcentral
GAUGAACGCUGGCGGCGUGCCUAAUACAUGCAAGUCGAGCGAACGGACGAGAAGCUUGCUUUUCUGAUGUUAGCGGCGGACGGGUGAGUAACACGUGGAUAACCUACCUAUAAGACUGGGAUAACUUCGGGAAACCGGAGCUAAUACCGGAUAAUAUUUUGAACCGCAUGGUUCAAAAGUGAAAGACGGUCUUGCUGUCACUUAUAGAUGGAUCCGCGCUGCAUUAGCUAGUUGGUAAGGUAACGGCUUACCAAGGCAACGAUGCAUAGCCGACCUGAGAGGGUGAACGGCCACACUGGAACGGAGACACGGUCCUGACUCCUACGGGAGGCAGCAGUAGGGAAGCUUCCGCAAUGGGCGAAAGCCUGACGGAGCAACGCCGCGUGAGUGAUGAAGGGCUUCGGUUCGUAAAACUCUGUUAUUAGGGAAGAACAUAUGUGUAAGUAACUGUGCACAGCUUGACGGUACCUAAUCAGAAAGCCACGGCUAACUACGUG